Molecule: ribosomal RNA, 253 nt
Filed under: uncultured Eubacteriales bacterium
Lineage: Bacteria; Bacillati; Bacillota; Clostridia; Eubacteriales
Description: uncultured Clostridiales bacterium partial 16S ribosomal RNA
Rfam family: Bacterial small subunit ribosomal RNA
Source: RNAcentral
UACGUAGGGGGCAAGCGUUAUCCGGAUUUAUUGGGCGUAAAGGGAACGCAGGCGGUCUUUUAAGUCUGAUGUGAAAACCCGCGGCUCAACUGCGGGACUGCAUUGGAAACUGGCGGGCUUGAGUGCCGGAGAGGCAAGCGGAAUUCCUAGUGUAGCGGUGAAAUGCGUAGAUAUUAGGAGGAACACCAGUGGCGAAGGCGGCUUACUGGACGGUAACUGACGCUGAGGCUCGAAAGCGUGGGGAGCAAACAGG